UAGGGUCCCUCAGUUCAUUCGCUAUUGGGAAUACUGCACAGGUGUAUCCAAGACAAAAGGAAAAAGAUAAAAACAAAAGGCUUGAUCAAUUGUCAUAUACACAAGCAUAUUUUAAAAUUUUAACAAUCUUUGCCAUGUAAGGAGGAGAGUUGUUGGAAUACUUAUUUCAGAGAAAAAAUUUGUUACAAUAGCGCAUCAUAUUUGUAAUUCUAUGUAAUGUUGAACUAGGGGUGUGCAUAAUUCGGGUAAAACCGAAAAAAUUCGGUUAACUGACCGAAUUCGGUUAAUCGGUCGGUUAACUAAAUUUUUUCAGUCGGGGGUCGGUUAAUUUUUUUAUGAUUUUUCGGUUAACGGUUAAUUCGGUUCGAAACCGGUCGGUUAACCGAAAAAAUUAAUAAAUAAAAUUAUCCAACCCAGCCCAAACUUAAUUACCCAACCCAAUUACCCAACCCAAUAAAACUAAAACUAAAGUUUACCCAAUCCAAUAAAACUAAAACUAAAAGACAACCCAAUUUACUAAAGUCUAAAACCCAAUUUACUUUAAUAAUUUAUAAAUUUUUUAAAUUUUAAAAAUAAAAAAUAAAAAAAAUUCGGGUAAUUCGGGUAUUUUUCGGUAAUUCGGUUAAUUCGGGUAAUUCAGGUAAUUUUUAACCAAAAAUAAAAAAUACAUAAUUUUCGGUUAAUUUGGUUAACCGACCUUAUUAACCGAAAAAAUUUCGGUUCGGUUAAUUUUUUUAAAAAAAAUCGGUUCGGUUAACGGUUAAAAUUUUUGAAAGGUUGGUUAAUUCGGUUAUAGUAAUUUCGGGUCGGUUAAUCGAAUGAACACCCCUAGAUCAGACUAUGUUAUUAUUGUGCUCUUUACCUCCUUCAUACAAGUCUUUUAAGGAAACCCUGAUUUAUGGCAGAGACAAACUCUCAUUCGAAGAUGUGAAAGGUCAUUUGUUGAGUAGAGAUAAACUUGACAAUGAGUUUGGUUUGGAUAGCAAGGCAGAUAGGCAAGCUUCUGUUUUGGUAGCAUCAAAGAAACGAGACAAAAGGUGUCGCUAUUGUAAAAAGUUAGGUUACGUCAAAGCAGAUUGUUAUAAACUACGAAAUAAAAGAGCUGCUGAGAGUAACGAGGAAGAUGUAGCUGGUGCUAAUAUAGGACAUAAAUGUAAUUUUUUCAAAAAGGAGUUGAUGAUGAGAAAAGAUGGAGCGAUGGCAGUCGAAGAUACAAGGAAUGCCUUGUUAUGAAAAACUAUGUAAUUUUUUAUUUUUCAUUUAUUUUUUAAAAAUAGAACCAUGGGAACCUUAGCUAGCAAUUUUGUUUUAUUGCCCAUCUCUUUAUAUAUUUGUUUAAUAAUUAUUUAUCAUAUGAUUGUGAUAUAUAUGUAUGAGAUGAUCCACAAUUGAUCUAUUAAAGAUAAGAAGUGUGGUAAUGAGAAAAUACACGUAGGGGUGAGCAAAACUCGAUUCGACUCGAAAAAAUCGAAAAAAAUUCGAAUUUCGAGUUAAACGAAUCGAGUUAUUCGAGUUAAUCGAGUUAUUCGAAUCAACUCGAAUUUUUUUUCAAAUUUCGAGUUCGAAUCGAGUUGAGUUUUCGAAUUCGAAUAACUCGAAUAAUUCGAAUAAUUCGAAUAUCAAACUAUAAUAUUUUACAUUUUUACCCCAAACUCCCAAACCUUUUUACUUUUACCUCAAAACUUUUACUCCUUCCCACUUUUCCCCUAAAACUUUUACUCUCCUCCCCUCCCAAUCCCCCAAUCUAUCCAAAAUCCAUUUCCCACCAAAAUUUUACUCUCCCAUUUACUUUUUCCUCAAAAUUUUACUCCCAAAAAUCCUCAAAACCUUUUAUUUUCCCCCAAAAUUUUUACUCCCUCCUACUUUUCAUCUAAAACUUUUAUUCCCUUCUCAUCUCACCUCCCAUCUACCCCAAACCCUCCCCCUCAAAAUUUUUUUUAAUAUUUUCCCUCCAAAAUUUUACUCCCCCUAUUUAUUUUCCCUCAAACUUUUAUUCCUCAAAACUUUUUAUUUUCCCCCUAAACUUUUACUUCUCACCCUGUACUCACAAAUAAAAAAUCAAAAUUAUCCAAAAAAAUCACUAAACAUAAAUAGUAAUAAUUUUAUUUAUAUCUACUAUUUAUAUUAUUAAAUUAAAUUUCACAUUUUAUAUUAUUUAUAUUAUUGAAUUGUUUAGUCAUAUUGAAUAUUUAUAUUAAAAUUGAAUUAUUAAUUAUGCCAUAAAAUAUUCGUGUUAAAAUUUUAUAUUGGUAUCAAUUUCACAUUUUAUUUUUAAAAUAACUUUUAUUAAAAAAUCAUAUUUUUACAUUUAAUAUUUUUUAAUUCCAAAAUACAUAGUGACAAGAAUCUAAAGAUAAUUGAAACAACUAAGCAAGCAAAGAAGCUAACCAAUAUAUAAAAAAUUAAUAAAUAAAUUAUGAGGCGAUGAAAGUUAAUAAAAAAUUUGAUUAAGGCGGACAAAUUUUAUUACGAUGGGUGACAGUGGUUACAAGGAUCUAAAAUUAUUUUUUAAAAUUUAACUCGAACAAAUACAUUCGAUUCGAUUCAAUUCGAAUUCCAUCUCACUCGACUCGAUUCGAGAAAACUUCAAAUAAAGUUAGGAUGAUAAAAUGAGAUUCGAAAACUCGAUUAAUUCGAAAAUUUUUGAUUCGAUUUGAUCGAAUGCUCACCCCUAAAUACAUGUGUUGUAUUGUUCCAUUCACUUCUUAGGUUAUUUGGUAACUGUGAGAAGUGUGGUAAUGAGAUGGUGCAUGUCUAUAAUUUGGUUUAGCAAGGAAAGGCUUAGUUUUUAAGUGGUCAAAUAUGAUUUACCUCCCUUUUUUGGGAACCUACCUCCUACAUGGUUCACAUUCACUUUUUCAAUUUUUCCCUUAAAAGAAAAACUGUAGAGAAUCAAAAUUUUUUGAUUGACUCUUGUGAAUAAUUGAAUGUGAAUAUUAUAAAAUUGCUAUAGCAUGUCAUACAUACAUGAGAUAAACAUGUCAUAUAGUUUAGGAAAGAAUACCACAUGUACUUGUCAUGCAUAUAUUAAUCAUUCAUGAUUGAAAUCAGAAAUUAAAAACCUUGCAUGUUUUUAAAAUAUUGAGUGGAAGAAGGUUCCUAAAUAAGACCUGCAACCUCCAUCAAUAGUCUCUUGUGAUGGCAUGGCAAGUGCACUACCCCACUGUAGGAUUUCUAUGUGGAUUUCAUUGAGAAGAUUUCCUAAAAGUAAGAAGAACUCUCUUGUGAUCAAAUGAUAAUUAGACUAUCCCUUGUGGUAGGUAUUAUCAUGUAAUAGGUCAAGAAAUUCUGUCUUUAAAAGAGGACAACUAGUCAAAGCAUGCUACUCGGUGAGAUUGUCCCAUGAUGACUCAUUUGUGGUGCAUGAUGCGAUAGGUGUUGAGUUGAUGGUUAUACACUCAAUAUCUUCUAGUUAAGUAACUUCCCAUGAAGCUCUACUUGAGUCAAAAUGAUGGUCAUACUAGUACAUGUGAGCCUAAGGAAUUAGGUUCAUGUACUAAUUGGAUGGAAAUCAAUGUUCUUAUUAGUUGAUCAUGAUCACCCCAAGGUGUCUUGAUUCAAUGGGUGUGGGAGUUACCGUUGCAACAGUUUAUAGAUAUUUUCAAGGUUUAAUGUAAGUUGCAUGCAUCAUCUUAAUGCAUAUCGUAAUAUUGCAAAACAUCUUCAAAAAUUUUUUUAAUACAAAUAUAUUAAUAUAUGAAUGUUUUAUUUUCAGUUCAAAAAAGUCACCAACACCCUUAUUGAACAUACUUACUGAAAACAAAUUGAAUGGAAAUAACUAUAAGGAAAGGAAAAGGAACCUAAUAAUUGUCCUCAGUUGUGAAGAACUUAAAACAAUUCUUGAUAAUAAAUGUUCACCGACUACUUAAACUGAGGCUAGAAAAUGCUGGGAAGAAUCUGAUGAAAUAGCUUAUUGCUAUAUGCUGGCAAUCGUGACCAGUACUCUGUAUAAGCAACUAGAGAGUUGUAAGAAUGUUAAAGCGAUUCUACAUAAGCUAGAAGAUAUGUUCGGAAGUCAAGCUGCCUUAGUCCUACAAUCUAACAUAACUAGCUUGAUGAAUGCCCAGCAAACAUCCAGUACUCCAGUCAAAUACCAUAUGAUUACUCUUAUGGACCACUUUGUCAAGGCUGCGGACAAUGAGGCAAAUCUAAACCAGAACACUCAAAUUGAAAUGGCGUUCAAAAGUUUGUCAAAAGAUUUUGUUGGUUUUCGGGCCGCAUAUAACCUUGGUAACAAAAACCUAACACUUACACAACUUAUGAAAGAGUUACAAUCUUAUGAGUUGAUGUUGAACGACGGUCAAUCGGUCCGAGGAGUAGAAGCGAAUAUAGUCGUCACUUUUUCCUCAAAAAGGAAGAAAAAACGUGUUAAGAAAGGCAAGGCGAAUGCCUUUAGGCCACCACAAGUGGAAAAGAAGAUAAUAAAAAAGCCUAAUGACUUAUCUAAGUCUAAAUGCUUCUUUUGUAAAAAGAAAGGGCACUUCAAGGCAAACUGUAAAGAGUAGAAUGAAUACCUAGCUACCAAAGGCAAAGGUAUGGAACUCUUGAGAUAGAAGCUUGUUUAGUGGAAGAUUCAAUAGACCACUGGGUCAUUGAUUCGAGAGCCACUAAUCAUGUUUGUGUUUCUCUGUAGAGGUUUGAUGAGACAAAAUAUCUUAAAGAUAAGAGCUUAUUGUUACGAACUGAGAACGAGACAAGUGUGGUAGCUGAAGCAGUAAGAUAUGUACAUAUUUAUUUUGAUAAUUUUAGGAAGAUUAUUUUAAGAGACGUUUUCUAUGUACCAAGUUUCAAAAGAAACUUAAUUUCUGUUGCAUGUUUAUAUAAAGACGACUUGAUCAUGACUUUUAAUAGUGGAAUUACAAUAUUUAGAACUCACAAUCUUAUAUGUAAUGGAUGGAUGUCAAAUAAUCUCUAUUUUAUCAAACCAAAUAUGUACACACUGCUUGAGACUGAAAUAUCAAAAAAAUACUUAAAACUUCUCACCCUAAUGAGGCAUACCUUUGGCAUUUGAGACUUGGUCAUAUUAAUCGAGAAAGAAUCAUUAGACUUGUGAAAGACGUCAUCUUAAGUUCACUUAAAGAAGUUGAUCUUUCACAAUGUGAAUCUUGCUUUGAAGGUAAAAUGACUAAGCGAUCUUUUAAUGCAAAAGGAACGAGGGCCAAAAAACCCCUAGAAUUUAUGCACAUUGAUGUAUGUGGCUCCAUGAGCAUUAGUGUAAGAGGUGAUUACGAGUAUUAUGUAACCUUUAUUAGUGACUAUUCUAGAUAUGGGCAUGUAUACCUAAUGAACUGGAAGAGUGAAACCUUUGAUAAAUUCAAAGAGUUUCAUGCGAAAGUGGAGAAACAACUAGGUUUACCUAUGAAGGCACUUCGAUAAGAUCAAGGUGGGAAUAUUUAUCUAAUGAGUUCUUAAGGUACCUCAUAGAUAAUAAGAUUUUAUCUCAGUUAACUAUGUUGGGCACUCCACAACAAAAUGGUGUGGCGGAGAAAAGAAAUUGAACAUUGUUAGACAUGGUACGUUCGAUGUUAAGUUAUUUGAAGCUGCCAAUCUCUUUAUGAGAUAUAAAGUACAAACGACUUGCUAUAUUUUGAAUGGUGUGCCAACUAAGGUAGCAUCGAAAAUCCCAUACAAAUUGUGGCAUUGUAGGAAGCUGAAUCUUAAUCAUUUUAGGAUUUGGUGAUGCCCGGCUCACGUAUUAGAUAAAGAUGCGAGGAAGUUAGACUUACGGGAAAAAUUAUGCAUGUUUGUAAGAUAUCCAAAUAGAACAAAUGAUGGUUUGUUUUAUAACUCAAAAGUGCAAGCUGAGUGUCAACUCAUGCUACUUUCCUUGGAAAAUGUUACAUGAAUGACUUCAAACCUCGGAGUAAAGAGGUACUCAAGGAGUUUUCGGGAAAUAUACAAAACCCUGCAAAAACAAUUGAUAUGGUGCAUGGGUGGCAAACCAAGCUAAGCCUUUGUGGUGAAUUAUCUUAAGAGUCAUUGUGUCGAAUUAUCUUAAUAGCCUGGCAUAUUAUCCAGAAAGCCUAUGUGACGUAUUACCUGGAAGAGCCUUUGUGACGUAUUAUUUAGAAAGUCUGUAAAAUGAAUUAUAUAUCGCUUAAGUGGCGAGUUGUUAGUCCGCUUUAUGGUGAGAACUAGGUAUGCCUUUGAGGCAUUUUCUGAAGGUGGCCUCAACAGAUUACUCGACUGAUGAAUCUAUCAUAGUAACUCAUUAGGUUAGAAAGAGAGCUUAGCAUAUAAGUAAUUAUGGGUGGUGUAAGUGUCCGCCAAAUCUGGAAGUUUUUCCCUUUUGUAUCUGAAUUUAUUUGAACUUCCAUUGGGUGAUCUAAAAUAUUACCUCCAUCGAACCAAAUUCGUUAUUUGGAUCGAUGCGAAGAUAAAGCAUGACUGGUAUUCAAACAGCCACUAAAGCCAGUAUAUGAAUCCACCGAGAGUAGUGUCUAUAGGUAUAAUAGUCUCAGAAACGUAUCCAAUUUCUUUCUUUAAGCAAUUACAAAAUAGUAUCCGUUAUAAGGUAGGAAGUCUGUAAUCCACCAAUCGAGUGAAACAUGUACAAGGAGUCGAGUUAGAGGUUGGCGUAUAGUUAUCCGUUAAGAAUAAAAAAAGUAUCUUCCAAAAUCUGAAAGGAAGUUCAAAUUUCUUAAGUCGAGGAACUCAACAUCAUCGCUUAAAGGUAAAACUGGUCGAGACUCAUUAAAUUCGCUAGGAAUGCGUCAAAGUGAUUAGUAAUCUCUUUCUAAAAUUUUAUAUUGUUAAAAUUUAAAUUAAAGAAUCCUAAAUCCUUUUUCCAAAGUAUUUUUAGGUGAAUUUAUGAUUUUAAGAACAAAGAUAUUGGUACCUCAUUUAUAGUAUUGAAACCUAUGCAAGAUUGCUAAUCACUUUUAGCUCCAAAGUAUUCAUUUAUUGAAACUUUGAAAGACAUGUACCGAAACCUCAUGCCUAUUGCAAUAUAAAUUUUUAUUAUAUAUUUAAUUUAUUUUUAAAAAAAAUUUAAUCAUUUCUCAAAAUAUACCAAUACUAACUACACUUUAUCUUUCCAUUGUUAACUAAAUCUACUCCUAAUCAUAUUCUUUUUAACAUAUACUUCAUAAUAAAAUUCUCUUCACUAUAAUGAAUUUAAUCUUAUUAAGGACCUGUUUAGUAGUGCUUAAAAAAAUAUUUCUAGCUCCAAAAGCACUUUUAGAAGAAAAGUUGUGCUAAACAAGCUGUUUUUGGCUAAAAUUUUUGGCUUUUCAAAAGUGCUUUUUAGAAGUGCUUUUCAAAAGCACUUUUGAAAAUGAGAAGCUAAAAUUUUUAGCUUUUCCUCUCCCAAAAGCACUUUUGGUAUUUAAUUAUUUUUUCACUCCUCCAAUAACAUAGUACUUUUCCUUUUUUUCUUAGUGCUUUAUUACAAAUGUGUUAAAAUCAUUAAUUAAAAUUAAAAAAAUUAAAAUAGUAAUUACAAAGAUUUAAUGGUUAUAUUUAAAUAUUUAAAAAAUAAUUUACAUAUUCUAAUUAAAUUUUAUAAAUAAUUAAUAUUUAUUGCUUAAAAAUAUUUAAAAUUUAUAUUUCAUAUAUUAAAAUAUUAACAACAAGUUAUAAUAUAUAUUUUUUAUAUUCUUACUAAAAUAUAAUAAUAUUAAUUAAUUUAAAUAUUAUUUAAAUACAUAUUUGUUACUUGAUAAUAACAUAUCUAAAAUGAACAUUUUAUUUCUCAAAAGUACUUUUUGAUAGCAAUGCUAAACACUCAAAUUUUAAACCAAACUUUUCAAAAGCACUUCUCCAUAGCACUUUUCAAAAGCAUUGCCAAACUAGCCCUAAUUCAAGUUUCAAUUCUUUUAUUUUUACUUAAUUAUUUUAGUUUAAUACACUUAAUUCGAUAAAAUUUUCAAAUAUUACAUUUAAACACUCAUGUAAUUAAUUUGCUCAUUUCCACUCCUAGAUUUUUCCAAAUUUACUAAACAACCCCUAGAAUUCUAGUUUUGCAAUUUUUAUGAUUUAGUCCCCAAAGUCCCAAAUUUACACUAUUUUACAAUUCAGUCCUUAGAAAUCAUUUUUUUUAUUUUCAGUUCAACCUUAAAUCCCCGUUUACACAUCUUUGAAAAACAGUCUCUCUCUCUCUCUUCAAAAUUUCGAGAUUUUAUAAUUUAACCAUCUUAUCAAAUUUUCCACAAAGUAGUCCCUGAUUUUAGAACUAUUAAACUUUCAUAUUCUAUUUUUUAGAAUUGUAAAUUCUCAAACCAUAUCAAUUAGUUCUAAAACCCAUGUUUUGAAAUCAACCUUUCAAUUUUCAUAUUUCAUAAUCAUAUAAUUUAGUACUACGUCAACUUUUUAGAUUUUAGUACUCAACCUUUAGAAUUCGAAAUUUUAAAAAUUUUACAAUUUGGUCCUUACUUCAAAUUUUAUCAAAUAAAUCACUUGACAAAUUAUUUUUCAAUUUACUCAUCCAAAUAGUAUUCAAAAUAGAUGUUUACCACAUUCAACAUGAUAAAUACACAAUUCCAUCAUUCUAAAUAAUUAAUUUCAAAUUAAAAUAUUCUUAGUAAAAACACCCUCACUUUCUUACUUUCAAUUAUUCACUUCAAAUCAUCCACCAAAUUAUUUGUAAAACCAUUCACCAUUCACUUCAUACAUAAAUAUAAUACUUCCAUCACUUUGAACAUAAAAGAUAAUUAUAUAUGCUUAAUUCUUACAGUUUCACAUCAAAUUAUAUAAUCAAAUAAAUAUAACAUAAUAAUUUAAAAAACUUACCUUAAUUUCUCCACCUACCCAUACUCUCUUCCACUUCCAACAUCCAUCUUCAAGCUUUUUUUCCUCAUCAAAUAUGAACUCUAACUAGCUUCACAAGAAACUUAUCUUGCCAUGGCGUUGUUCUCUUGUUUUUACAAAAAAUCUAUGGAAGAAUUUUUGAAGUUUGACUUGAAAGGGUUGAAAAAAGUUAGACAAGGACCUAAAUGAAAGAAAAGGAAAGUUUAGCUAAAUAUGAGAAACAAGGUAGAGAGGAUAAACUGAUGAUGGAUGAUAUCUUUUUUUCCUUUUUUUCUUUUCUACAUCUUUCUACACAAAUAUUUUAUUAACUUUGUA
RNAcentral lists this long non-coding RNA (9063 nucleotides) under Gossypium barbadense (sea-island cotton). RNAcentral's name for it is "long non-coding RNA (GBAR_LNC014091)". The record is from RNAcentral. Lineage: Eukaryota; Viridiplantae; Streptophyta; Magnoliopsida; Malvales; Malvaceae.